AACAUCAUACUUUCAGGGAUCAUUUCUAUAGUCUUUGACUUGAGAAAUGACGUAUGAAAGUGAUCGGUUACUCUAACCACGAUGAAGAGAACUGAUGUUUCCUGCUGAGCGAGAAGCGGGCAGUGAGUGUUGAUGCAUUACAUCCGCUCCUUGUCACUAGCCGUGUUUACAUGGCAGAUCUAUGCCGCAUAGAUUUCUAUGCGGC
Molecule: small nucleolar RNA, 205 nt
Filed under: Gadus morhua (Atlantic cod)
Lineage: Eukaryota; Metazoa; Chordata; Actinopteri; Gadiformes; Gadidae
Description: Small nucleolar RNA U3 (ENSGMOG00000035443.1)
Rfam family: Small nucleolar RNA U3
About the family: Small nucleolar RNAs (snoRNAs) are involved in the processing and modification of rRNA in the nucleolus.
Source: Rfam by way of RNAcentral